This is a long non-coding RNA of Oncorhynchus gorbuscha (pink salmon), 2926 nucleotides long. RefSeq lists it as uncharacterized. The record is from RefSeq and is a predicted model, not a curated record. Lineage: Eukaryota; Metazoa; Chordata; Actinopteri; Salmoniformes; Salmonidae. The transcript has 11 exons.
UUUUCUGGUCUCUAUGUUUUUGGUUGAACGGGUUUCUCAAUUUCUUUAAUAGGUUUUUGCAUUCUUCAUCAAACCAUUUGUCAUUGCUGUUCAUUUUCUUUGCUUUUCUGUUUGAAAUUGAGAGGUCAAAUAUACUGUUUAGAUUUUCUUGCGCCAAGUUUACAAUUACAGUGGAAUGUUUUGUCCAGGAAGUUGUCUAAAAGGGAUUGAAUUUGUUGCUGCCUAAUUGUUUUUCCGUAGGUUUCCACACUACAUGCCUUCCAUCCAUUGCAUGUCUUAAUAUUAUUCAGUUCUUAUUCAUGCCUCAUGAUUGAGUACUGUUCUGUUCAAGUAGACUGUGAUUUUGCUGUGAUCUGAUAAGGGUGUCAGUGGGCUGACUGUGAACGCUCUGAGAGACUCUGGGUUGAGGUCAGUGAUAAGUAGUCCACAUUAUUACUGCCAAGAGAUAAGCUAUAGGUGUACCUACCACAGGAGUCCCCUCGAAGCCUACCAUUGACUUUGUAUCUCUCUCGCUCUCUCGCUGGUAUGAUAUCUACCCGAGCUUCCUCCAUGGUAAGACAUUUGACUAUAAGAUCCCCUACACCACUGUGCUACGUCUCUUCCUGCUGCCACACAAGGACAGGCAGAUGUACUUCUGAUUCAGUCUAGACCCACCCAUUAAACAGGGGCAGACACGUUACCACUUUCUCAUCCUGCUCUUCUCCAAGGAGGAGGACCUCAGCCUUUCCCUCAACAUGACAGAGGAGAAGCAUUAUGGGGGGAAGCUCAGUAAGAACAUGUCAGGUUCCCUCUAUGAGAUGGUCAGCAGGGUGAUGAAGGCUCUGGUCAACAGGAAGAUCACCGUGCCAGGAAACUUCCUGGGUCCCAGUGUAUGACGUGUUCCUACAAAGCGUGGUCAGGCCUGCUCUAUCCUCUGUAGAGGGGUUUCGUCCACAUACACAAGCCCCCCCCCGUGCACCUGCGCUCCCCAGGAGGUGUCGGUGUGUUAACGUCGCCAGAGGCACCACCACCACGCGCUCCCUCGACUUUGAGAUCGAAACCAAGCAGGGCACCCAGUUCACCCUUCAGCAGCAUCGAGAGGUGACGGAUACACACACACACACACACAUACAUACACUUCUACAUACACACACCUUUGUCACGUCUCGUCUUUCACUCCAUUCUCUCUCUGUUUCUAACCUCUCCGUCCUAGAGGAGUAUGGGAAGCGUUUUGACUUUGUGACCGCCGAGAAGCUCAGCAUCCAGAACAGAGGGUUCAAAGAGGUUAACAUCUCACCUGUAAACUCCACUAUUUCCCUCUUUCAUUAGAUGUUCUUUCAUCCCUUCGUCCACUGACCUGUCCUCUCUGUCUCUCUGUGUCGUGGUCCGGUAGAAAAAGGUUGGUCCUGUACAGAGGUGGGGGUUUGGUUUUAAACUGCAUGGCGUGUGAUUUGGGAGAAUGUUAUGAUCAGGAUUGGGGGUGUUAAUUGCAUUGCCUUUCUCUUAUGGAAUUGUGGGGGUGGGAGGAGUCUAAAUCUGUGUGUGUUAUUACUGAUGGUAUAGCAAAGUAACACCUAACUUGGUAAGUGAGACAACAUUUUCUAUUUUGUUCACUGUGUAUAUUUCCCAAAGUAAGUUAGCAUCUUUACAUGGGUUGUCUGCGUUUUACAACGAAUAAUAUUGCCUUGUAUUACUACAGUACUACUAUGUAUUUACUAUGAUACUACUGUGUAUUUACUAUGUUACUGCUGGGUAUUUUUGUCCUGUCAGGUUAUGAAGGGUAAAGAUGACAUCUUGGAGGACUCAGACGAGGACCAGCACGAUGUCUACCUGGAGAGGAUGAAAGAGGAGGGCAAGAUCAGAGAGGAGGCCAAUGACAGUGAUGACUCCCAUGGAGAGAGCGAUGAGUCUUUUAACCCUGGAGAGGAGGAUGAUGACAUAACGGAAGAACAAUUAAGGGGGGAGACAGUGACAGAGAGAAGAAGAAGAGACCAGCCAAGAAGGCCAAACUGGUGAAGGAGAGGAAACCACGCAAGGACAGUGGCGCCCCCAAGAGGCUAAUGAGCACCUAUUUCCUGUGGCUGAACGCCAUUCGCGAUAGCAUCAAAGCAGAGCACCCUGGGAUAUCAUCACAGAGAUCUCCAAGAGGGCUGGAGAGAUGUGGAGCAGAAAGAGUCUGUCUGUCCGUCCGUCCGUCUGUCUGUCUGGAGUGGAAUGGGAAAGUGGAGGAGGCGAAGAAGGACUAUGAGGGAGUACAGAGAGAGUGGAAGAGGAUCCUCUGCCCCCUCCAAAAAAGUGAGGAAAAAGAAGGAAGGGAAGAGUGAAGAGAAGAAUAAGAAGGUGAAGUCUGGUGGAGGGAGAGAGAGAGGGAGACAGGAAACGACAGCUUUAAGAGCAGGGAGUUCAUCUCCAGCGAAGAGAGCUCCUCAGAGUCCAGACAGUGGCACGGGCAAACGCAAGGGUUCAGAUGAACAAGAGGCGGAGGUGGCCUCGACCCCACCCAGUUCUGACUCAGGAUCGGACUGAGGCACGUCUGAGAGGAGAGAGAGAGAAAGAGAGGGAAGGACAUGGAGAGGGAAAAGAGGGCAAAGUGUGGAGAGGGGUUGUGAACUCCUUUACCGCCCUCUGUUCUUCUCUCACGCAAAUUAUAUGACAUUUUAAAGUACAUGAAGCAAGUAUGAAGAUAAAUACCGACGUAUUCAAAAAUAUUCUGUCCAGGAAUUGUAAAACUAUCCCUCUUAUCUUAGGAAGCAAAAUACCGUAUUUCAUUAUUUUAACCCAGUGCAAAAAUCCCAUAACCUGACCAGUGAUGACUAUAUUUCCCAGCUACACGUGCAUGACACUGCCUGUCGGUUUAGGCUGUGAACAACUCAGGUAAAACCCCUUGCCUACUGUGAAAUGUAGUUUUCCAGAAUAGUACAAAAUUAAAUAUUGUAAGUAAAUGCUC